This 253-nucleotide ribosomal RNA is filed under the name uncultured bacterium. RNAcentral's name for it is "partial 16S ribosomal RNA". It matches the Rfam family "Bacterial small subunit ribosomal RNA", at positions 524 to 776 of the family's 1533-position model. The record is from RNAcentral.
UACGGGGGGGGCAAGCGUUGUCCGGAAUUACUGGGCGUAAAGGGCUCGUAGGUGGCCAACUAAGUCAUACGUGAAAUCCCUCAGCUUAACUGGGGAACUGCGUCUGAUACUGGAUGGCUUGAGUUUGGGAGAGGGAUGCGGAAUUCCAGGUGUAGCGGUGAAAUGCGUAGAUAUCUGGAGGAACACCGGUGGCGAAGGCGGCAUCCUGGACCAAUACUGACACUGAGGAGCGAAAGCCAGGGGAGCAAACGGG